UCUGUUACUCUCAUUAUAUUCGUAUAAUAAGAUAAAGAUGCAUUUCAUUAUUUAUAUGGAUGAAUCUAACCUUGAGUUGCAGCAAAGUGUGGAUUGAGUCGACCCCAAGGUUGAUUGGGUCGACCCCGGCACAUAAAGAAAGCAUCUGGCACACUUCUGCAAAAAUGGCACGGAUGAACAGUAGUUGGGUUGACCCAAGGAAAGCAUGAGUCGACCCAA
This 219-nucleotide long non-coding RNA is filed under the name Phoenix dactylifera (date palm). RNAcentral describes it as "long non-coding RNA (PDAC_LNC005752)". The record is from RNAcentral. Lineage: Eukaryota; Viridiplantae; Streptophyta; Magnoliopsida; Arecales; Arecaceae.